Molecule: ribosomal RNA, 479 nt
Filed under: uncultured bacterium
Lineage: Bacteria
Description: partial 16S ribosomal RNA
Rfam family: Bacterial small subunit ribosomal RNA
Source: RNAcentral
GACGAACGCUGGCGGCGUGCUUAACACAUGCAAGUCGAGCGAUGAAGCACCUUCGGGUGUGAAUUAGCGGCGAACGGGUGAGGAACACGUGAGAAAUCUGCCUUCAACACUGGGAUAACUCCGGGAAACCGGGGCUAAUACCGGAUAUGAAACCUGCGGGCAUCCGCGGUUUUGGAAAGUUUUUCGGUUGAAGAUGAUCUCGCGGCCUAUCAGCUUGUUGGUGAGGUAAUGGCUCACCAAGGCGACGACGGGUAGCCGGCCUGAGAGGGCGACCGGCCACACUGGGACUGAGACACGGCCCAGACUCCUACGGGAGGCAGGAGUGGGGAAGAUUGGGCAAUGGAGGAAACUCUGACCCAGCGACGCCGCGUGCGGGAUGAAGGCCUUCGGGUUGUAAACCGCUUUCAGCAGGGAAGAAGCGAAAGUGACGGUACCUGCAGAAGAAGCACCGGCUAACUAUGUGCCAGCCGCCGCAGUAA